UAUAUCUUGGUGUAUGGUGCACGGUAGCUUUUGAUGCUUUGAGUAAUAGUUUAAUUCUAUUAGAUAUAA
RNAcentral lists this transfer RNA (69 nucleotides) under Ateuchotermes retifaciens. Its description in RNAcentral is "tRNA-Gln". It matches the Rfam family "tRNA". From Rfam's summary of the family: Transfer RNA (tRNA) molecules are approximately 80 nucleotides in length. Their secondary structure includes four short double-helical elements and three loops (D, anti-codon, and T loops). Further hydrogen bonds mediate the characteristic L-shaped molecular structure. tRNAs have two regions of fundamental functional importance: the anti-codon, which is responsible for specific mRNA codon recognition, and the 3' end, to which the tRNAs corresponding amino acid is attached (by aminoacyl-tRNA synthetases). tRNAs cope with the degeneracy of the genetic code in two manners: having more than one tRNA (with a specific anti-codon) for a particular amino acid; and 'wobble' base-pairing, i.e. permitting non-standard base-pairing at the 3rd anti-codon position. Lineage: Eukaryota; Metazoa; Arthropoda; Insecta; Blattodea; Termitidae. The record is from RNAcentral.